GCCCGCCUAGCUCAAUCGGAUAGAGCGUCAGACUCUUAUUCGCAGGGCGAUCUGAAGGCUGCGAGUUCGACCCUCGCGGUGGGCU
RNAcentral lists this transfer RNA (85 nucleotides) under Lentinula boryana. RNAcentral's name for it is "tRNA-Lys". It matches the Rfam family "tRNA". Rfam says of the family: Transfer RNA (tRNA) molecules are approximately 80 nucleotides in length. RNAcentral also lists the same sequence under 1 other name. The record is from RNAcentral. Lineage: Eukaryota; Fungi; Basidiomycota; Agaricomycetes; Agaricales; Omphalotaceae.